AGAGUUUGAUCCUGGCUCAGAACGAACGCUGGCGGCGUGGAUUAGGCAUGCAAGUCGAGCGAGAAAGCGACCUUCGGGUCGCAAGUACAGCGGCGAACGGGGGAGGAACGGGUGGGGAACCUGCCUCCGAGUGGGGGAUAACACUCCUAACGGGGUGCUAAUACCGCAUAACACUCUCGAACCGCAUGAGUUGAGAAUCAAAGGUAGCCUCUACUUGUAAGCUAGCGCCUGAAGAUGAUCCCGCGUCCGAUUAGCUUGUUGGUGAGGUAACGGCUCACCAAGGCGACUAUCGGUAGCUGGUCUGAGAGGAUGGUCAGCCACACUGGGACUGAGAUACGGCCCAGACUCCUACGGGAGGCAGCAGUCGAGAGGCUUCGGCAAUGGGGGAAACCCUGACCGAGCGACGCCGCGUGAGGGAUGAAGCCCUUCGGGGUGUAAACCUCUUUUCCAGGGGAAGAAACCUACGUGGUCCAAUAGGCCACGUGAUUGACGGUACCUUGGGAAUAAGCUCCGGCUAACUCCGUGCCAGCAGCCGCGGUAAUACGGGGGGAGCAAACGUUGUUCGGAAUCACUGGGCGUAAAGGGCGCGUAGGCGGCCCGGCAAGUGGUGUGUGAAAUGCCCUGGCUCAACCAGGGAACUGCGCCCCAAACUGCCGGGCUUGAGGGCAGUAGAGGAAACUGGAAUUCCUGGUGUAGCGGUGAAAUGCGUAGAUAUCAGGAGGAACACCAUUGGCGAAGGCGAGUUUCUGGGCUGUCCCUGACGCUGAGGCGCGAAAGCUGGGGGAGCAAACAGGAUUAGAUACCCUGGUAGUCCCAGCCGUAAACGGUGAACACUAGGUGUGGGGAGUAUCGACCCUCUCUGUGCCGUAGCUAACGCAUUAAGUGUUCCGCCUGGGGAGUACGGUCGCAAGGCUGAAACUCAAAGGAAUUGACGGGGGCCCGCACAAGCGGUGGAGCAUGUGGUUUAAUUCGACGCAACGCGCAGAACCUUACCUAGGUUUGACAUGCAUUGGACCGGUGUAGAAACACACCUUCCCUUCGGGGCCGAUGUACAGGUGCUGCAUGGCUGUCGUCAGCUCGUGUCGUGAGAUGUUGGGUUAAGUCCCGCAACGAGCGCAACCCUUGCCUUUAGUUGCCAGCAGGUUAAGCUGGGCACUCUAGAGGGACUGCCGGUGGUAAGCCGGAGGAAGGUGGGGAUGACGUCAAGUCCUCAUGGCCCUUACACCUAGGGCUACACACGUGCUACAAUGGGCGAUACAGAGGGUUCCGAUGCCGCGAGGUGGAGGCAAUCCCAAAAAGUCGUCCUCAGUUCGGAUUGCAGUCUGCAACUCGACUGCAUGAAGGUGGAAUCGCUAGUAAUCGCUGAUCAGCAGGCAGCGGUGAAUACGUUCCCGGGCCUUGUACACACCGCCCGUCAAGCCACGAAAGUUGGGGGUACCCGAAGUCCGUAUUCUAACCACUAGGAGGAAGCGGCCGAAGGUAAGACUGGCGAUUGGGGCUAAGUCGUAACAAGGUAACC
This 1519-nucleotide ribosomal RNA is filed under the name uncultured prokaryote. RNAcentral describes it as "partial 16S ribosomal RNA". It matches the Rfam family "Bacterial small subunit ribosomal RNA". The record is from RNAcentral.